RNAcentral lists this small RNA (807 nucleotides) under uncultured Chaetomium. RNAcentral's name for it is "eukaryotic LSU rRNA". The stretch from base 533 to 807 matches the Rfam family "Eukaryotic large subunit ribosomal RNA", at positions 1 to 281 of the family's 3401-position model. Lineage: Eukaryota; Fungi; Ascomycota; Sordariomycetes; Sordariales; Chaetomiaceae. The record is from RNAcentral.
CUUGGUCAUUUAGAGGAAGUAAAAGUCGUAACAAGGUUUCCGUAGGUGAACCUGCGGAAGGAUCAUUAAAGUAAACGCCCUCCGGGGCUCUCUUUAUUCACACACCCCUGUGCACUUUGGCCACCUGCCGCGCUUCACUGCGUUAGUAGGUGUGUCUUUAUAAUUAUACCCAUAUACACAAGUCAUUGAAUGUAAAAUCGUUAUGAACUAAUAUAACUUUCAACAACGGAUCUCUUGGUUCUCGCAUCGAUGAAGAACGCAGCGAAUUGCGAUAAGUAAUGUGAAUUGCAGAAUUCAGUGAAUCAUCGAAUCUUUGAACGCACAUUGCGCCCGCCAGUAUCCUGGCGGGCAUGCCUGUUCGAGCGUCAUUUCAACCCAUCAAGCCCACGGCUUGUGUUGGGGACCUGCGGCUGCCCGCAGGCCCUGAAAACCAGUGGCGGGCUCGCUAGUCACACCGAGCGUAGUAGCAUACGACCUCGCUCAGGGCGUGCUACGGGUUCCAGCCGUAAAACGACCUUCGCGACCCCAAGGUUGACCUCGGAUCAGGUAGGAGGACCCGCUGAACUUAAGCAUAUCAAUAAGCGGAGGAAAAGAAACCAACAGGGAUUGCCCUAGUAACGGCGAGUGAAGCGGCAACAGCUCAAAUUUGAAAUCUGGCUUCGGCCCGAGUUGUAAUUUGUAGAGGAAGCUUUAGGCGCGGCACCUCCUGAGUCCCCUGGAACGGGGCGCCAUAGAGGGUGAGAGCCCCGUGUAGUUGGAUGCCUAGCCUGUGUAAAGCUCCUUCGACGAGUCGAGUUGUUUGGGAAU